CGCGUAGGUGGUUCGAUCAGUCGGAGGUGGAAUCCCUCGGCUCAACCGAGGACCCGCGUCCGAUACUGUCGAACUUGAGUGCAGGAGAGGAGGGCGGAAUUCCCAGUGUAGCGGUGAAAUGCGUAGAUAUUGGGAGGAACACCGGUGGCGAAGGCGGCUCUCUGGACUGUUACUGACACUGAGGCGCGAAAGCUAGGGGAGCAAACGGGAUUAGAUACCCCGGUAGUCCUAGCCGUAAACGAUGGGCACUAGGUGUGGGAGGUAUCGACCCCUUCCGUGCCGCAGCUAACGCAUUAAGUGCCCCGCCUGGGGAGUACGGCCGCAAGGUUGAA
RNAcentral lists this ribosomal RNA (332 nucleotides) under uncultured bacterium. Its description in RNAcentral is "bacterial SSU rRNA". It matches the Rfam family "Bacterial small subunit ribosomal RNA", at positions 568 to 898 of the family's 1533-position model. The record is from RNAcentral.